GACGGAGGGUGCUAGCGUUGUUCGGCAUUACUGGGCGUAAAGGGCGCGUAGGCGGCCUGUUAAGUCGGGUGUGAAAGCCCGGGGCUCAACCCCGGAACGGCACCCGAGACUGGCGGGCUUGAGACCGAGAGAGGAGAGUGGAAUACCCAGUGUAGAGGUGAAAUUCGUAGAUAUUGGGUGGAACACCAGUGGCGAAAGCGGCUCUCUGGCUCGGUUCUGACGCUGAGGCGCGAAAGCGUGGGGAGCAAACAGG
This 253-nucleotide ribosomal RNA is filed under the name uncultured bacterium. RNAcentral describes it as "partial 16S ribosomal RNA". It matches the Rfam family "Bacterial small subunit ribosomal RNA", at positions 524 to 776 of the family's 1533-position model. The record is from RNAcentral.